CAGUCGUACCGACGAGAAAUCAACUUAUCGUGUGUUAACUUGUGGGCGUGCGUGAGUUUCGGCCUCGCUGUUUGCAUGUUUGUGCGCUUUGGGUGUACUUUUUCGUAUGGUUGGCCAACAUCAGUUUCGAUCACUAUAAAAUGACUGGCGGAAUGUAGCUUCGAUUUCGGUUGAAGUGUUAUAGCCUUGGUAGAUGUGGUAAUUGGGGACUGAGGAUUGCAACGAUAUCCUUUGGGCUAUCCGUCUCGGCCCCUGAAAGUUGCUUGGGGUGCUGAAGCUUGCUUAUGUUA
This 290-nucleotide ribosomal RNA is filed under the name Glomus sp. (unid). The record is from RNAcentral. Lineage: Eukaryota; Fungi; Glomeromycota; Glomeromycetes; Glomerales; Glomeraceae.